UCUGCGUGCUCCUAUUCUUCCUUUUUGG
RNAcentral lists this small RNA (28 nucleotides) under Bombyx mori (domestic silkworm). RNAcentral describes it as "ovarian small RNA-29989". Lineage: Eukaryota; Metazoa; Arthropoda; Insecta; Lepidoptera; Bombycidae. The record is from RNAcentral.